RNAcentral lists this long non-coding RNA (510 nucleotides) under Lathyrus oleraceus (garden pea). RNAcentral describes it as "Pisum sativum (pea) long non-coding RNA (PSAT_LNC022381)". Lineage: Eukaryota; Viridiplantae; Streptophyta; Magnoliopsida; Fabales; Fabaceae. The record is from RNAcentral.
ACAAACUAAGUAUGAGCGCAUCAUUGGCAGUCAUAGAUGUAGCACCCAAGUUUUGUCCGGGGAUAAUUUACUUUCAAAAUUAUCGAUUUUAUUUUUAUUCCGUGUGUUUAGAAAGUCUAAAAAAAUAAUAAUAAAAUAAACUAGAAGUUUUAUUUGUCUUGGCCAUUAAUAAAAGAGUAAUUAAAAAUAUUUGUCAUUGUUAUGUUAGAAUCUUUUUUUAGUUUGUAUUUAAAGUGUACUACCUCUAAGGACAAAUGUGUAAUUUUCCCUCAAGCUAAAACCCUCAAAAUUAGGAUAUAAAAGGAUUAAUUUAUGAGCCAAUGAGGAGGAGGAGGUUGCAUAUUCCUUUCCACUAUUUAAAAAAAUAAUAAAAAUAAAAAGAAGAGAAAAGCUUUCUUCAUCUUUCUCUCUCACGCACAAAACUUGUAAGGGGAAAAGAGAAAAAUGUAACUUCCUCUCUCUCACAGCCGCUGCAUAACAUCUUCGUCUACCCCUUCCCAUAUUUCUUGU